This 522-nucleotide ribosomal RNA is filed under the name uncultured bacterium. RNAcentral describes it as "bacterial SSU rRNA". It matches the Rfam family "Bacterial small subunit ribosomal RNA", at positions 24 to 518 of the family's 1533-position model. The record is from RNAcentral.
UCAGGACGAACGCUGGCGGCGUGCCUAAUACAUGCAAGUCGAACGGUCUUUCUAUGGAAGCUUGCUUCCACUGAAAAGAUAGUGGCAAACGGGUGAGUAACACGUGGGUAACCUGCCCAUAAGAGGGGGGAUAACAUCCGGAAACGGGUGCUAAUACCGCAUAGUUUUCUUGAUCGCAUGAUCGGGAAAGGAAAGACGGCCUUUGUGCUGUCGCUUAUGGAUGGACCCGCGGCGUAUUAGUUAGUUGGUGAGGUAACGGCUCACCAAGACGAUGAUACGUAGCCGACCUGAGAGGGUGAUCGGCCACAUUGGGACUGAGACACGGCCCAAACUCCUACGGGAGGCAGCAGUAGGGAAUCUUCCGCAAUGGACGAAAGUCUGACGGAGCAACGCCGCGUGAGUGAAAGAAGGUUUUCGGAUCGUAAAACUCUGUUGUCAGAGAAGAACAAGUUGGAGAGUAACUGCUCCAGCCUUGACGGUAUCUGACCAGAAAGCCACGGCUAACUACGUGCCAGCCGCGGC